UUUUUUAAGUUAUGGGAAAUA
RNAcentral lists this non-coding RNA (21 nucleotides) under Caenorhabditis elegans. The record is from RNAcentral. Lineage: Eukaryota; Metazoa; Nematoda; Chromadorea; Rhabditida; Rhabditidae.